GUCGCUUUCGCACAAUGGCAGUGCUCCCGGCUCAUAACCGGGCAGUUGCAGGUUCGAUUCCUGCAAGCGGCACCA
RNAcentral lists this transfer RNA (75 nucleotides) under Caudoviricetes sp. Its description in RNAcentral is "tRNA-Met". It matches the Rfam family "tRNA". From Rfam's summary of the family: Transfer RNA (tRNA) molecules are approximately 80 nucleotides in length. The record is from RNAcentral. Lineage: Duplodnaviria; Heunggongvirae; Uroviricota; Caudoviricetes.